This is a non-coding RNA of Sus scrofa (pig), 320 nucleotides long. The record is from RefSeq and is a predicted model, not a curated record. Lineage: Eukaryota; Metazoa; Chordata; Mammalia; Artiodactyla; Suidae.
UCAGAACCAGUAGUCCAUGGACAAGGAGAGGUUUCUUUCUUUCUCUAUGGACCAGAAAAAACAAUGCCAUCUGAUGCUGGGCUAAACUUUCAAGACUUAGAACAAGAAUUAUGAAGCCUAGCUGAAUGAAUGUGAAGCCCACUUGGCUGCUUUCUAGCUGAAUAAAGAACGGAUCAAAUGUCUCUCUCCAUCAGCUUCUCCAUGCCCACGUAAAGGUGUUUCAUACCUUUUGAAGAUAACUGGUAUGCCUUCAUGACUAACAGUCUGGAAAUGGAAUAAUGCUCAGAAAUUAUUGAGCUGAAGAUCCUGGGCUUGGGGCA